This 2567-nucleotide long non-coding RNA is filed under the name Olea europaea subsp. europaea. Lineage: Eukaryota; Viridiplantae; Streptophyta; Magnoliopsida; Lamiales; Oleaceae. The record is from RNAcentral.
AGCCAUGUAGCAUAAUCUACUCUAUGAAUAAAGAUGACAUUUCAGCAUUACCAUUAGAAAAAAGAAAGCAAAAAGAGGUUCAAAACAAAAAUAUGGUUCCAAAACAUUUACAUGUGCUACUUGUGAUUCUCCAACUGUAUAAAUCAGGGUUCAGUUGACCAGUUUAGUUUACUUCUACAAUAACUCAUAAGCAUGGGAAGACAUGCUGUGCAUCCAAUAUCAUUCUUCAUCCCAGACAAUGAUUAAAGCCUCUCUCAAAAAACAUGUAAAAGUAAGUCUUUAGGCUGUUUUCUAGUAUCAAUAUAAACUUAGAAAGAUGGACGUGAAAAAAAUGUAAUGGAGCAUAAGGUUAUGGGGGCGUUGGCUGGAGGUACAGAGUGCUAAACCGCGUGAUAGAGUAUGAGAUAUGGAGGUGUCUGUACGCGUACCAUAACACACGAGACUUGUAAAUUGAGUUUAAAAUGAAAAGAAAUUUUAGUAUCAUUUUCAAUAGUUUACUUUUUCCUUCCUUUCUAAGUAAAAGAGUUACUUAAAGUUUGUUCAAACUUUGACCAAUAAAUAAAUGCUUACUUUAAAACUUGCUUAUUGUGAAUUUUCUAAGCUUAGCCAAACAUGCUCGAAGCUCUUACUUGAGGUUUUAACUAAGAUUGAUUUUUACUUGAUCUGUGUCAAUUUGGACCUUAUCCCAAAGAAUUAAGCUAUGAGUUAAGGUAUCUCCAUUUAUUAUUUAUUCUUCUUCUAGUUUCUUUGGAAGUAGUUGAAUUACCUUUCGAGAAAUUUUCUCAAACAACACCUUCAUGAGAAAGCAAACAACAAAUAAAGACCUAUCCAAUGGUUAGAACAAAAAUUCUAUCAGUUUCUCAAGAUAAAGGAAAUGAGAAUCCUCCAAGUAAUAAAGACUUGUUGACACAAGUUCAGUGUUGGACACAAAUUUGGAGUCAUAAUAUAUAUACAUACAAACAUAUCUGGGAAAAAAUAAUUUUUAAAUCUUGACUCCAGAAUUUCCAGUGCAACCUUAUCUAGUCUUGUUCGCAUCAACCAAGGUGGCUCAAAAUUGGUUGCAGAACCAUGAAGGUAACAUAUUUAUUUGCCUUAUAUGUCUUCCAUGGAAAAUGUAGCCCCUUAGAAGCAGAACCCUUCACUGGACUUGAAGCUUGGUUAGUAGGAUUCAUAAGCUACUAUCCAACUAAUCCUAGAGGAAAAUACAUGCCCAAGGUAUGAAAUUGCAAGGAGUCAGCUUGUGAUACAAUAAAAAAUAAAAUUUGGCCACUAACAAUAUCAUUGAGCUUUAAAAAAUGAAACGGUGAAAAUGGCCAACAGAAAUUCAGCAGCAAAAUCAAACCCCAAUCAGCCAUCAGACAUGCAACAUUUUAUCACCAGGCUACCAUUUGCUUAAACUUGUAAAUCUGCCAUUAUACAAAAGCUAUUUUUCAAUUAUAGGAUAUCACAUAGGCCAAAAAGAGGAGAAAGAAAUCCCAAGAGGAUUAUUGAUUCUCGACAGUGCUAUCCUGUUGUGAUUUUAUGACAGCUGGAGCUGUAGCUUUGUCGAAUGAUUGUGGGGACGUUUCAUUCAGGUGGUUAGUCUUUCCAGAUUCAAGCAGAUCACAUAUACAAAUAUGAAGAAUAUUUUAAAAGGAGCUGUCAAUUAAUGUGAGAAAAAGAUAAGAAUUAGGAUAUGCACAUAAAAUGGAUCAAAGCCCAUCAAUUUAAAAUAAAGAAGUUACUCGUCAAAUGACAAAGAAACCAUACCAAUUUUCCACAUACCGACCAAAUUUAAAUAGUAUGUAUAUGAAGAAAAAAUGUUUGAUAGUUGAAAUGGACAAAAAUGUAUCAGGGAUUCAUUGUAAAGAAACACUACUUAAUCUAAUGUCGAAAAUCUUCAGCCAAAAAAGACAGUCUAACAACAUAAUAUUUGUAACAGAAACAGUUUAGCAAUAAAAUUGACUCAAAACGCACAUUAUCAAUUUUCUUACUGAGCAUUUAUUCUGAAGUAUACAAAUCAUCCUGUACCAAUUUGAAAAGAAAAAUGCAUUGUAACGCUAAAAGUGCAGAUUGUUUAAUAUGCAUGUAUACAACCAUAGUACUUCAAAAUUUAGUGAAGGAAAAAGAAAGGAAGAGAAAUUUUUUGAAUCUAUUCAUAUUUGUUUGUCCACUACAUUAUGGAAAUCCAAGCUGAAAAUUCAAAGCAUUAAUCAUCUGAUAAAGAACCCAACUCAAUUAACUCAUAAUAAUCAACACUCACUUGGCGAUUAAGAGUUGUAGGAUCAUGUCUCGCCCAGAAAACAUCAGGCAGAGCCUCAUAACUACACUCUCUGGAAGUCCAAUUCAACUCCCCAAAAAUAACCCAUCCCGAAUUACGUGAACUACGUAAUCAUCAAGUCCCUGCCCUCUGGAAGAAUCUAAAGAGAAAUCCAUAGAAAAGUCAGUGGAAUUGCGCACAUAAAUCUGAACUUGUACAGCCAGCUCAUUCUUUGAGAGGCGAAAUUAAUGGAAGGAAAUCGAGGGUUUAGAAUGGAAGGGAGGAUAGAAAACGUGGUUAUGGCAGUGGGUGUAAGUAUUGUACAUCU